AGGAAUGGUUAGGAAAGGUGGCUUACACAGGGGCAAAACCCUUGGUUUUGGAAGUGUCUCUCCAGUCCAUUUGUCUUUUAAGCCAGUUCCUGCCUGCCCUGGCCCCAGAUUACAAGUUGUCUGCCUGAGUCACUGCUUCGAUUCUCUGAGUCAAGUCUGGCCCUCUCUCACAUGUUGCUAAGGCCACCUCUACAGCAGCCACUCAGGUGCCCUUUGGCCAGCCCUCCAAGGACGGGGCCCGCAAUUACAGCAGAGAGCAUGAGCAGCUGUGGAGAAUUGAUGGCACCCCCACUCAGGAUCACCUCCUUGCUGGCAUACGCCUGGAAGAGGCAGGGGACCCCCAGUCACACUUCUCGAAAAGCCAGCUGACCUACUACGGCCUCACGGAGGGUUUCUCUGUGUAGCUUUGCGCCUUUCCUGGGACUCACUUGGUAGACCAGGCUGGCCUCGAACUCACAGAGAUCCGCCUGCCUCUGCCUCCCGAGUGCUGGGAUUAAAGGCGUGCGCCACCACCGCCCGGCUACGUUUGUGGGUUUUUAAACUUCUAGGACCAACCUAAUGGUUUCGGACAGGCCAGGACCCUGGAACCACAUUAGAAGGUACUAGGGGACUCCUUGGGGGUGGAUGUGGUAGGCAAGAAGCCCAUGGAGGCAUUCAUAUCAGAGCACCAUGGAGUCUGCAGGUGCCAGGGGUUGGGGGCUUCCGACCUCUAUGUCUUGUGAGACUCCAGGGACAAUCCCGCCACCACUCCCAGCUGUUAACUCAGCAUAGGGACAAGAGCAUGUGGCUGGGGAGGACACCCUGCCGGCCAGGUCACUGCCUACCCCUUCCCGCCCUCUGAGUUCCCGCACCUUCCCUAGGAGUCA
This is a long non-coding RNA of Peromyscus californicus insignis, 866 nucleotides long. RefSeq lists it as uncharacterized. The transcript has 3 exons. The record is from RefSeq and is a predicted model, not a curated record. Lineage: Eukaryota; Metazoa; Chordata; Mammalia; Rodentia; Cricetidae.